AUUGAACGCUGGCGGCAGGCCUAACACAUGCAAGUCGAGCGGAUGAAGGGAGCUUGCUCCUGGAUUCAGCGGCGGACGGGUGAGUAAUGCCUAGGAAUCUGCCUGGUAGUGGGGGAUAACGUCCGGAAACGGGCGCUAAUACCGCAUACGUCCUGAGGGAGAAAGUGGGGGAUCUUCGGACCUCACGCUAUCAGAUGAGCCUAGGUCGGAUUAGCUAGUUGGUGGGGUAAAGGCCUACCAAGGCGACGAUCCGUAACUGGUCUGAGAGGAUGAUCAGUCACACUGGAACUGAGACACGGUCCAGACUCCUACGGGAGGCAGCAGUGGGGAAUAUUGGACAAUGGGCGAAAGCCUGAUCCAGCCAUGCCGCGGGUGUGAAGAAGGUCUUCGGAUUGUAAAGCACUUUAAGUUGGGAGGAAGGGCAGUAAGUUAAGACCUUGCUGUUUUGACGUUACCAACAGAAUAAGCACCGGCUAACUUCGU
This 483-nucleotide ribosomal RNA is filed under the name uncultured bacterium. RNAcentral describes it as "partial 16S ribosomal RNA". It matches the Rfam family "Bacterial small subunit ribosomal RNA", at positions 30 to 506 of the family's 1533-position model. The record is from RNAcentral.